Molecule: non-coding RNA, 552 nt
Organism: Oenanthe melanoleuca
Lineage: Eukaryota; Metazoa; Chordata; Aves; Passeriformes; Muscicapidae
Source: the annotation of a RefSeq genome assembly
AUGCGGCGGUGUCGGGGCGCGGGGCUGGCGGCGCUGGCCGCGCUGCUGCUCGUCGCCGUGGCCAGAGCACAAGUACAACAGGAGCCGUUCCUGGAGACCACCGAGGGCACUGGAAUCAAUAUCAGCUGCUCACACUCCAACAUAGGAACAGGCGAUACGAUCUUCUGGUACCGUCAGCUCCCGGGCCGAGGACCCGAAUUCCUCGUGAGCGCUCACAAUGGGGUCAGAGAGCUGCCGGCCAUUGCAGCAAAGCUGUCGGUGUCGGCAGAUCGGCGUUGGAGCGCGCUGUGGCUCGGGCGGCCCCGGCGCGGGGACGCGGCCGUGUAUUACUGCGCGCUGGGCCACGGGCAGAGGAGCCGGGGCUGCGGCCGGCUCCAGCUCCGAGUCCCCGCGCGCGCUCGGCCCCUCUGCUCAGCGCGGCUGCGGCAGCUCCGCUCCUGGCGGCAGCGAACAGCCCCGCCCGGCCACGGCUCCGUGCGCGCUGACACGGUCUGCCUGCGGCACCGACGGCAGCACGGCCCUUCCCAAACUAUCUCUUGCUCCUUCAGGUAG